RNAcentral lists this ribosomal RNA (468 nucleotides) under uncultured bacterium. RNAcentral describes it as "partial 16S ribosomal RNA". It matches the Rfam family "Bacterial small subunit ribosomal RNA", at positions 28 to 507 of the family's 1533-position model. The record is from RNAcentral.
GAUGAACGCUGGCGGCGUGCUUAACACAUGCAAGUCGAACGGAAAGGCCCAAGCUUGCUUGGGUACUCGAGUGGCGAACGGGUGAGUAACACGUGGGUGAUCUGCCCUGCACUUCGGGAUAAGCCUGGGAAACUGGGUCUAAUACCGGAUAGGACGAUGGUUUGGAUGCCAUUGUGGAAAGUUUUUUCGGUGUGGGAUGAGCUCGCGGCCUAUCAGCUUGUUGGUGGGGUAAUGGCCUACCAAGGCGUCGACGGGUAGCCGGCCUGAGAGGGUGUACGGCCACAUUGGGACUGAGAGACGGCCCAGACUCCUACAGGAGGCAGCAGUGGGGAAUAUUGGACAAUGGGCGCAAGCCUGAUGCAGCGACGCCGCGUGGGGGAUGACGGCCUUCGGGUUGUAAACUCCUUUCGCUAGGGACGAAGCGUUUUUGUGACGGUACCUGGAGAAGAAGCACCGGCUAACUACGUG